GCCCUACGGGACGCAGCAGUGAGGAAUAUUGGUCAAUGGGCGCGAGCCUGAACCAGCCAAGUCGCGUGAGGGAAGACGGUCCUACGGAUUGUAAACCUCUUUUGUCGGGGAGCAAAAGACGCCACGUGUGGCGUUCCGAGAGUACCCGAAGAAAAAGCAUCGGCUAACUCCGUGCCAGCAGCCGCGGUAAUACGGAGGAUGCGCGCGUUAUCCGGAUUUAUUGGGUUUAAAGGGUGCGCAGGCGGAAGAUCAAGUCAGCGGUAAAAUUGAGAGGCUCAACCUCUUCUAGCCGUUGAAACUGGUUU
Molecule: ribosomal RNA, 305 nt
Filed under: uncultured bacterium
Lineage: Bacteria
Description: bacterial SSU rRNA
Rfam family: Bacterial small subunit ribosomal RNA
Source: RNAcentral